GAUGAACGCUAGCUACAGGCUUAACACAUGCAAGUCGAGGGGCAGCAUGGUCUUAGCUUGCUAAGGCCGAUGGCGACCGGCGCACGGGUGAGUAACGCGUAUCCAACCUGCCUUACACUCUUGGAUAGCCUUCUGAAAGGGAGAUUAAUACAAGAUGUUAUCAUGAGUAAGCAUUUUCGCAUGAUUAAAGGUUUACCGGUGUAAGAUGGGGAUGCGUUCCAUUAGAUAGUAGGCGGGGUAACGGCCCACCUAGUCUUCGAUGGAUAGGGGUUCUGAGAGGAAGGUCCCCCACAUUGGAACUGAGACACGGUCCAAACUCCUACGGGAGGCAGCAGUGAGGAAUAUUGGUCAAUGGACGAGAGUCUGAACCAGCCAAGUAGCGUGAAGGAUGAAGGUUCUAUGGAUUGUAAACUUCUUUUAUACGGGAAUAAACGAAUCCACGUGUGGAUUUUUGCAUGUACCGUAUGAAUAAGGAUCGGCUAACUCCGUGCCAGCAGCCGCGGUAAUACGGAGGAUCCGAGCGUUAUCCGGAUUUAUUGGGUUUAAAGGGAGCGUAGAUGGGUUGUUAAGUCAGUUGUGAAAGUUUGCGGCUCAACCGUAAAAUUGCAAUUGAUACUGGCAGUCUUGAGUACAGUUGAGGUAGGCGGAAUUCGUGGUGUAGCGGUGAAAUGCUUAGAUAUCACGAAGAACUCCGAUUGCGAAGGCAGCUUACUAACCUGUAACUGACAUUGAUGCUCGAAAGUGUGGGUAUCAAACAGGAUUAGAUA
RNAcentral lists this ribosomal RNA (767 nucleotides) under uncultured Bacteroidales bacterium. Its description in RNAcentral is "bacterial SSU rRNA". It matches the Rfam family "Bacterial small subunit ribosomal RNA", at positions 28 to 784 of the family's 1533-position model. Lineage: Bacteria; Pseudomonadati; Bacteroidota; Bacteroidia; Bacteroidales. The record is from RNAcentral.